This is a long non-coding RNA of Zophobas morio, 228 nucleotides long. RefSeq lists it as uncharacterized. The record is from RefSeq and is a predicted model, not a curated record. The transcript has 3 exons. Lineage: Eukaryota; Metazoa; Arthropoda; Insecta; Coleoptera; Tenebrionidae.
UAUGAAUGGAACUUCCUCUCGCCUACUCGCAACAGAGAUUGACCGAAUAAGUUAGCAGAGGCGAUGUUAAACAAAACUCAUGGGUUUAAUACCAGCUCAAAGUUUUUAAGGAGACUGCUCGUAACAACCGUUGAUAAGAGAUACCAAGUGCUAUAGUCGAAGAAAAGAAACUGGAAAGGGACUAAAAUUAGAGGAUGAAAAGAGCAGAGUUUAAAAAAAUACCUUUCU